RNAcentral lists this unclassified non-coding RNA (240 nucleotides) under soil metagenome. Its description in RNAcentral is "partial contains 5.8S ribosomal RNA, internal transcribed spacer 2, and large subunit ribosomal RNA". The record is from RNAcentral.
AACCAUAGAAACCUGCGGAGUACCUGCGGAGGGAUCAUUACCAAUCCAAAGAUUACAUCUUUUCCUGUGAACUUUUGAUUUGUUUUUAAUAUUUGGGUGACUUGAAAAUAUUCUAGUCAUUAAAAAUAUUAUUAUAUUUUCAAUCACCAUUAUAUUUUCAAUCACCCAAAUAUUUUGAAUAACAACUCCUUAUCAAAACAUAAUAUAAAUAAAUUGUUUUGCUGACAUUACAGGUCAUGU